Molecule: long non-coding RNA, 817 nt
Filed under: Sus scrofa (pig)
Lineage: Eukaryota; Metazoa; Chordata; Mammalia; Artiodactyla; Suidae
Description: lncRNA (ENSSSCG00040073088.1)
Source: RNAcentral
AUAAAUACAUAACUCCUUAGAGGCUGGCUAAAGAGAGUUUUGAAUUGCUAGUGACUUUUGAAGGUACAAAGACAAGGAGUGUCUGUGGUUCUGCCCUUCCUCUGCCACUGGAUCCUGAAGCCGGUCAAGUGCCACUGGACUUCAUUUACUGUCUUCUCUGCCUUCUGCUGGCCUUAGGGGAAAAAAAAAGUGAGGUCAUAUUUGAUGUCCUUUUCUUUGGCUGGAAACCUGAACUGGUCUUUGGAAAUACAAGGUCUUAACAAGGAUGGUGUAUGCUUUGGACUUUGGCAUUUCCAUGAUGAGUUUAGGACUUUGGCUCCUUCCCAGACUGUACAUGCUGAGACCUUGGGGAACACGGCUUCCAGUCAAUGUGCCUGGAUCUCCUCUCUUCUCUUCUGCCUGUCCCUGCCAGCCCUCCUUCACUCCAGACUCCCUGUCAGCCCUCCCUCACCUCCAGACUCCCUGUCAGCCCUCCCUCACUUCCAGACCCAAAAGAAGGUCAGCUGCAAUAAGGACUGACUGACUUGGGAUGGGAAGGGCAAAACUGAAUUGAAGCAAGAGUUCUACUUCAGCAUCUGGUGCACAGAUUUAGUAACUUUAGUGAAAUUAAAAACCAAGACAAAACAAAUGCAGAGCCUAUAUUACAAGAUUUGUUAUAGGAUCCUUAAUUUAUCUGCUUGGCUUUUGAUGAAAUUGUUUUUUGUUUUUUUUUUUUCUUGCACUGAAAUGUAUAAUGUCCUCUACUAGUUAAGCUCUGGAAUCUUUUCCAGUCAACUUCCUCCCUCUGGGAUGUAAUAAAGAGACAACUUAUGACCCA